GCGAAAUUUCGAUCUUGGGACGCCGCUAAGUGAUUGAUUUAUAUGGCUCUCGGAUCGUUCUACCUCCCUCCGAAGGCAGGGGUUGCUGGUUCGAUCCCAGCCGGGCGCACCA
RNAcentral lists this transfer RNA (112 nucleotides) under Paraburkholderia fungorum. Its description in RNAcentral is "tRNA-Arg". Lineage: Bacteria; Pseudomonadati; Pseudomonadota; Betaproteobacteria; Burkholderiales; Burkholderiaceae. The record is from RNAcentral.